This 270-nucleotide long non-coding RNA is filed under the name Oryza sativa aus subgroup. RNAcentral describes it as "lncRNA OsN22_UnG000610". The record is from RNAcentral. Lineage: Eukaryota; Viridiplantae; Streptophyta; Magnoliopsida; Poales; Poaceae.
AUGGAACGGCGCGGUGUCAAUCUGGCUGCGGAGGGGGCGAGGAGGCGGACGCAGUCUCGACUGGGGAGGGAGGCGGUGGUGGUGGAUGCAGGCGAGCAGGGGCGACGGGGCGGGCUGCGACGAAUGGGGAGGCGGUGUGGCAUGGAGGAGAAAGGGAUGGGAGUGCUGGGGAGGACGGCAGCGACGGUGGGAAAGGAGGAAAGGGGGAGAGAACGGAUCGGGGAUGUGGGCGGGUUGAGGGGGUUUCGGCAAGCGUGGAUCGGGGGUUGA